Molecule: long non-coding RNA, 1136 nt
Filed under: Marmota monax (woodchuck)
Lineage: Eukaryota; Metazoa; Chordata; Mammalia; Rodentia; Sciuridae
Source: RNAcentral
AAACAGGCACGCCAAAAACAGGGCCUGGUGCGCGAGCGAGAUGGCCGCGCCCGCGAGUCCGAGCUCUCAAGUGAUAAAAAUGCCGCCCGUGAAUCUGAAAGAUGGGGGGGGGGAGGCUUUCUUUUGGGGGCCCAUCCAUUUCGGCCAGUUCUCAGCUGGUUGGUCGUGCUCUACUCCACCCAAGACAAUCUGUGGUUAUCAAGCCCUGCUAAAAACUCACAAUGGGUGUUUUUCCUCUCUGUAAACAUCAGAAUCGUAAAUCUUCGCUGAUAUCUUAAAAGUUGUUUUUCUAAAAACAUAUUGUAGGACUGCUUAAAGAUGGAAAAUAAGCAAUUUAUCUUUUGAACACUCACUUUCAUGCGUAUGCCUGGAAAACCUCAACAAAAGCCUAUUUUAAAACAGCAUAUCCCAACUUAUUUUCACUAAAGUUAAGAAUAAUUAUUUCUUGGAGAUUCUUUUCUUUCGCCCAUAUGCCCCCGCCCCUGGCUACUUGAAUGGCAGAUUUGCAAGUACAAUUUCAUCUGCACAGACGAACAAUAGCUUUCAGUAGCACAAAGGACUUCACCACCCCGGAUUCAGACGCAAUGCCUCUUGCUCUGAUAAUAGCUUCUGAAAAGAUUUUGUAAUGCAGAGAAUUAAUACAUGAUUAUUUCCGCCUGGCUUCUCUCAUUUAUUAGAAUUCUGUGGCAAAUUCCAAAUUAAAAAUAGUUCAGUUAAGAGCUUUAAAAAAUACUUUUAAGAUAUUUUAAGACACCUGUCCCCCAGAUCUUUAAGUUUGCUCACUUGUCCUGGCCUGAAAAUAGCUAAAAAUUAGGACCAGCUCUCAAGCAAUAGCUACUAAUUUUAGUAAAUACGUUUGUGAAUUUAGAAUGAAAAUUCCAAAUAAUGAACAUCUAGAUAACUGUAGGCAAACUUGUUAGAGUGAAUCAUUAAUAGUCUCUAAAACUAAUUUCUGGAUUUUGUAGGGGGAAAGUCCUUUGUGAUUAAAGAAACACCCAUCCUCACCUCUGAAUGCCCAGAGGAAAGGGAGGGGGCAUUUCCCUCUUUUCAUAUCAUUUCUAAUAAAGGAUUUUGCUGCUCUUUAAAAAAAAAAAAAGUGCAAACACAGGCUGGGGGUGGAAUCAAAUUCCUUGGAA